RNAcentral lists this ribosomal RNA (1211 nucleotides) under Leptolyngbya sp. D2C8. Its description in RNAcentral is "bacterial SSU rRNA". It matches the Rfam family "Bacterial small subunit ribosomal RNA", at positions 99 to 1345 of the family's 1533-position model. The record is from RNAcentral. Lineage: Bacteria; Bacillati; Cyanobacteriota; Cyanophyceae; Leptolyngbyales; Leptolyngbyaceae.
CGGACGGGUGAGUAACGCGUGAGAACAUGCCUUUAGAUUGGGGACAACAGUUGGAAACGACUGCUAAUACCGAAUGUGCCUUAGGGUGAAAGAUUUAUUGUCUAGAGAUUGGCUCGCGUCAGAUUAGCUAGUUGGAGUGGUAACGGCACACCAAGGCGACGAUCUGUACUUGGUCUGAGAGGAUGACCAGGCACACUGGAACUGAGACACGGUCCAGACUCCUACGGGAGGCAGCAGUGGGGAAUUUUCCGCAAUGGGCGAAAGCCUGACGGAGCAAUACCGCGUGAGGGAGGACGGCUUUUGGGUUGUAAACCUCUUUUAUCAGGGAAGAAUCGAUGACGGUACCUGAUGAAUCAGCAUCGGCUAACUCCGUGCCAGCAGCCGCGGUAAUACGGAGGAUGCAAGCGUUAUCCGGAAUUAUUGGGCGUAAAGCGUCCGUAGGUGGUUUAUCAAGUCUGCUGUCAAAGCGUGCGGCUUAACCGCAUAAGGGCAGUGGAAACUGAUGAACUAGAGUGCGAUAGGGGUAACAGGAAUUCCCAGUGUAGCGGUGAAAUGCGUAGAUAUUGGGAAGAACACCAGCGGCGAAAGCGUGUUACUGGGUCUGCACUGACACUGAGGGACGAAAGCUAGGGGAGCGAAAGGGAUUAGAUACCCCUGUAGUCCUAGCCGUAAACGAUGACAACUACGCGUGAUUCGUAUCGACCCGAGCCGUGCCGUAGCCAACGCGUUAAGUUGUCCGCCUGGGGAGUACGCACGCAAGUGUGAAACUCAAAGGAAUUGACGGGGGCCCGCACAAGCGGUGGAGUAUGUGGUUUAAUUCGAUGCAACGCGAAGAACCUUACCAAGGCUUGACAUCCUCGGAACCCUGAUGAAAGUUAGGGGUGCCUUCGGGAGCCGAGAGACAGGUGGUGCAUGGCUGUCGUCAGCUCGUGUCGUGAGAUGUUGGGUUAAGUCCCGCAACGAGCGCAACCCACGUUUUUAGUUGCCAGCAUUCAGUUGGGCACUCUAGAGAGACUGCCGGUGACAAACCGGAGGAAGGUGUGGAUGACGUCAAGUCAGCAUGCCCCAUACGCCUUGGGCUACACACGUACUACAAUGCGUCGGACAAAGAGCAGCCAGCCAGCGAUGGUGAGCCAAUCUCAUAAACCGACGCUCAGUUCAGAUUGCAGGCUGCAACUCGCCUGCAUGAAGGAGGAAUCGCUAGUAAUUGC